GAAUACCCAUUGCGAAGGCGAUCUGCUAGAACUCAACUGACGCUAAUGCGUGAAAGCGUGGGGAGCAAACAGGAUUAGAUACCCUGGUAGUCCACGCCCUAAACGAUGUAUACUAGUUGUUGCUAUGCUAGUCAUGGCAGUAAUGCACCUAACGGAUUAAGUAUACCGCCUGGGGAGUACGGUCGCAAGAUUAAAACUCAAAGGAAUAGACGGGGACCCGCACAAGCGGUGGAGCAUGUGGUUUAAUUCGAUGAUACGCGAAGAACCUUACCUGGGCUUGAUAUCCUAAGAACCUCUUAGAGAUAAGAGGGUGCUAGCUUGCUAGAACUUAGUGACAGGUGCUGCACGGCUGUCGUCAGCUCGUGUCGUGAGAUGUUCGGUUAAGUCCGGCAACGAGCGCAACCCAUGUAUUUAGUUGCUAACAGUUUGGCUGAGCACUCUAAAUAUACUGCCUUCGUAAGGAGGAGGAAGGUGUGGACGACGUCAAGUCAUCAUGGCCCUUAUGCCCAGGGCGACACACGUGCUACAAUGGCAUAUACAAUGAGACGCAAUAUCGUGAGAUGGAGCAAAUCUAUAAAAUAUGUCCCAGUUCGGAUUGUUCUCUGCAACUCGAGAGCAUGAAGCCGGAAUCGCUAGUAAUCGUAGAUCAGCCAUGCUACGGUGAAUACGUUCCCGGGUCUUGUACUCACCGCCCGUCACACCAUGGGAGUUGAUUUCACUCGAAGCGGGGAUGCUAAACUAGCUACCCUCCACAGUGGAAUCAGCGACUGGGGUGAAGUCGUAACAAGGUAACCGUAGGAGAACCUGCGGUUG
The sequence is a ribosomal RNA, 813 nucleotides long. It matches the Rfam family "Bacterial small subunit ribosomal RNA", at positions 704 to 1520 of the family's 1533-position model.